AACGUAGGAGGCGAGCGUUAUCCGGAAUUACUGGGCGUAAAGGGCGUGCAGGUGGUCUGUUAAGUUACUCGUGAAAGCGCCCGGCUCAACUGGGCGAGGUCGAGUAAGACUGGCAAACUAGAGGGCAGGAGAGGGACGUGGAAUUCCGGGUGUAGUGGUGAAAUGCGUAGAGAUCCGGAGGAACACCAGAGGCGAAGGCGGCGUCCUAGCCUGCAACUGACACUGAGACGCGAAAGCAUGGGGAGCGAACGGG
RNAcentral lists this ribosomal RNA (253 nucleotides) under uncultured prokaryote. Its description in RNAcentral is "partial 16S ribosomal RNA". It matches the Rfam family "Bacterial small subunit ribosomal RNA", at positions 524 to 776 of the family's 1533-position model. The record is from RNAcentral.